UGGGGAAUAUUGCACAAUGGGCGCAAGCCUGUUGCAGCCAUGCCGCGUGUAUGAAGAAGGCCUUCGGGUUGUAAAGUACUUUCAGUCGGGAGGAAGGUGUCAAGGUUAAUAACCUUGGCAAUUGACGUUACCGACAGAAGAAGCACCGGCUAACUCCGUGCCAGCAGCCGCGGUAAUACGGAGGGUGCAAGCGUUAAUCGGAAUUACUGGGCGUAAAGCGCACGCAGGCGGUUGAUUGAGUCAGAUGUGAAAUCCCCGGGCUUAACCCGGGAAUUGCAUCUGAUACUGGUCAGCUAGAGUCUUGUAGAGGGGGGUAGAAUUCCAUGUGUAGCGGUGAAAUGCGUAGAGAUGUGGAGGAAUACCGGUGGCGAAGGCGGCCCCCUGGACAAAGACUGACGCUCAGGUGCGAAAGCGUGGGGAGCAAACAGG
RNAcentral lists this ribosomal RNA (429 nucleotides) under Chloroflexota bacterium. Its description in RNAcentral is "Chloroflexi bacterium partial 16S ribosomal RNA". It matches the Rfam family "Bacterial small subunit ribosomal RNA", at positions 355 to 776 of the family's 1533-position model. The record is from RNAcentral. Lineage: Bacteria; Bacillati; Chloroflexota.